RNAcentral lists this ribosomal RNA (497 nucleotides) under uncultured bacterium. RNAcentral describes it as "partial 16S ribosomal RNA". It matches the Rfam family "Bacterial small subunit ribosomal RNA", at positions 28 to 507 of the family's 1533-position model. The record is from RNAcentral.
GAUGAACGCUGGCGGCAUGCCUAAUACAUGCAAGUCGAGCGAACAGACGAGGAGCUUGCUCCUCUGACGUUAGCGGCGGACGGGUGAGUAACACGUGGAUAACCUACCUAUAAGACUGGAAUAACUUCGGGAAACCGGAGCUAAUACCGGAUAAUAUAUUGAACCGCAUGGUUCAAUAGUGAAAGACGGUUUUGCUGUCACUUAUAGAUGGAUCCGCGCCGCAUUAGCUAGUUGGUAAGGUAACGGCUUACCAAGGCAACGAUGCGUAGCCGACCUGAGAGGGUGAUCGGCCACACUGGAACUGAGACACGGUCCAGACUCCUACGGGAGGCAGCAGUAGGGAAUCUUCCGCAAUGGGCGAAAGCCUGACGGAGCAACGCCGCGUGAGUGAUGAAGGUCUUCGGAUCGUAAAACUCUGUUAUUAGGGAAGAACAAAUGUGUAAGUAACUAUGCACGUCUUGACGGUACCUAAUCAGAAAGCCACGGCUAACUACGUG